AUAAACCUAUAUUUGUAGAGAUAAUAAAAAUUGCAUGUGAUAAAUGACAGAGCAGUGUGAAAUGUAACAAAUUCCGUGUUUGGUAGAGACAAGAGGAUCAUAAUACAAGAUAAAGUUGGGGUGUCAGAGAAGUCAAAAUUAAAUCCAGUGUCUCGACGAUCGUAAGAAUGGUUUCUUGCCGUUAUAUAGCCGUAACAACAUAGCGUAAUGGUGAAAUCUGGUCUAAUCACAGACAGAUAGCUGUGUCGGAUUGUAAAGCUGAAAGCCUCGUCUAUCUCUGCAGGUGGCCAGGCUGAGUGUCAUUUUCGCUGACAUGGCUUUGGCAUCAGGGCAAUUUUCCCACAUCCAGGGUCACGGCAUCCAGCCCUGACAGGUGGUCCGAGAUGAACAGCUCCCUGGAGAUACAACCGUCCACUGUCUACGUCUCGCUCACCUACCCACUGGGAGAUGUCACAGCAGCACCUACAGUCAGAAGGUCAUUCGGCAGUAUCCGUGAUCUAAGAUAUAUAUGGACCAGUUGGGACAUUUAUAUAUGGUAUAGUUCUAUCUCUCGACGUCUUUCAUACUUAAAGAUAUUGUAGAAAGCAGAAUGGACUGUCUCGGAGGUUACUGGAACGGAAUGACCUAUCCACAAUAAGAAUGUCUAUAUACUUUCUUGUUUCUACAAAUUCGAAAAACAUGUCGAAGGUUUCCAGUAACGGGCAAGCUGAGUGUAAAAUAGGAAGGUUUAGCUUAUGACAUAAUUUACAACCAACAGUGACAAAACGUCUAUACGUUGAAGUGCAAGCUGAAGGUGUGGCCAGGUUACACUGCCCAGGGACCUUCUAUAUCUGUGUAAUGUUAGUUCGUACUCUUCUAGCUAUCUAUAAAAAUAUCUCAAGAUAUUUUCUUGUAAAUUUAAAAAUAUUCUAUUAUUAAAAUGAAUUUAAAGAUAACCAUCUGGUCCGUUUUAUCAGUAAAUUACACACAGUUUAUCAGCCGAUUUUGAUU
Long non-coding RNA from Centruroides sculpturatus (bark scorpion), 990 nucleotides. RefSeq lists it as uncharacterized. Lineage: Eukaryota; Metazoa; Arthropoda; Arachnida; Scorpiones; Buthidae. The transcript is spliced from 3 exons. The record is from RefSeq and is a predicted model, not a curated record.